Molecule: long non-coding RNA, 718 nt
Organism: Carya illinoinensis
Lineage: Eukaryota; Viridiplantae; Streptophyta; Magnoliopsida; Fagales; Juglandaceae
Exons: 2
Source: RefSeq, a predicted model, not a curated record
AUGACUAUAUUAUCAUCACUUUUGAACAUAAAUUUACAAUAUUACCCUUACAACCUAAAUCUGAAAGUGCCAUUUGAAAUACGUGGGAGGCAGUGAUUGACUCUGGACCCUUUCCCUCUCCCCCCUGCUGUGCGUGACUCUGAACCUAAAUCUGGCAGUGACCCAUUUGUUGAAGACAGUUCACCCAUCGACGGAACCACCACCUGCUCCACCAUCAUUUGCCGAUAACUUCCUUGAUUGUUCUUGAUGGAGAAAGGGGAAGAAUGCACUUCUACUAGGCGACCGCUAUUUUUUGUGGAAAACAGUAAUUAUAUGGAUACGCCAACGCUGGGGGAUGAUGAGGUAGUGAUUGAUAAUCAUGGUGUAGUGUUGGGGAAUGAUGAUGAUGAUGUGGUAGUUUUAGAGCCAACGCCGGGAAAUGAUAAUGAUGGUAUUUAAAAGCCAACCUUAGGAAAUGAUGUUGAUGGGGUUUCAGAACCAACGUCGGGAAAUGAUGAUGAUGGGGUUUCAUGUCCAACGCUGGGAAAUGAUGAUGGUGAUGGUGGGGUUUCAGAGCCAACGCCGGGGAUGUUUUUUAAAACUGAAAAAGAACUAAUUUACUACUACAAGCAAUAUGGGAGACAGGCUGGAUUCGGCAUAAUGACACAAAGAAGUAAAAGGGAAGAUGAUGGGAGUGUUAGAUAUGUAACACUUGGUUGUGCUCAUGGUGGUAAGGCAA